UGAUUUCACUUAUAUGUAAAAUCUAAAAAACAAAGCAAAUGAACAAAUAAAACAACAAAUAAUCAAACCAGCAAACAAACCCCAGAAACACAUUCAUAAAUAGAGAAACUGAUGGUUGACAGAAAAGAGGGGGAUAGGAGAAGAGGUGAAAUAGGUGAAGGGGCUCAAGUACAAACUUCCAGUUAUAAAAUGAACAGCUCAGGAGGACGAAAAGUACAGCCUAGGGAAUAUAGUCAAUAAUACUGUAAUAACUUUGUAUGGUGACAGAUGGUAACCACACCGUCAUGGCGAGCACUUCACAGUGUACAUAAAGUUGAACCACUCUGUUGUACAUCUGAAACUAAUACAAUAUUUUGUUAAGUGUACUUCAAUUUUUUAAGAAAAGCAAAUUGUGAAAUUGUGUGUCCUGUGUGUUUUACAGAGAAAACUGUCCAUGGCUUUCAAUCAUCUCCUCAAAGAAUUAACUUCUGGUUUAGUUAAUGAUUGGACAUUCAGUUUAAAUUAUGCCAGCGCCGUUUUAGCUGAAAAGAGCAUGUGUGACAGGUAAAUAGUCCUAUCACAGAAAGGUCUUGGUGUUUGUGAGCAAAUACUCCCCGACCUUGGAUAAAGCCUCCCUCCCUACCUCUUGUAAUGAACUUUGCAAAAAUGUCCCCGAAAUCAUUUCCAGCGUCUCGGAUGAGCUGUGAACAAUUGCAGACACGGGGGGCAUUUGCGCCUCAAGACGCUGAGGCUCUGCAGCUGGCAAGCGGGAGGCCGACGGCAAGUCACCGGCUGCCCCGGCGUCUUCGUGCGCGGCUGGGCGCCUCUGGGCGCACCCCCGCCCCGCGCGAGCGCUGCGCCUUUAAGGGCCGCUGGGGGCGCUCGGAGAGGUGCGCGCGGCGGGGAGACGGGGUUCGGAGUGGGCGCUGCAGCGUCCCAGAGCCUCGGACUUGGCUGGGGCGCGCGGGAGCGGACGGGCAUGCCCCGCAGCCUCGGACUGGGCACGCACCUGGCCCGGGAGGGCGAGGCACCGCGCCCCGGCCCGGCCAUGGGCAGCUUCCAGCUGGACGACUUCGCGGCGGGCUGGAUCGGAGGUACAGCCAGUGUCAUCGUCGGCCACCCUCUGGACACAGUCAAGACUCGCCUGCAGGCCGGUGCCAACAACGGGAGCACCCUGAGCUGUGUCCGCGCCCUGUACAGGAGGGAGAGUCCAACCUCAGUUUAAAGCCCAGGGUGGCGGCUCACGGGGAGCAGCCAGCCUAUCAGGGGCCUGUGCAUUGCAUUGCGACCAUCGUGCGCACUGACGGCCUGGUGGGACUGUACCGGGGCACCAGCGCCAUGCUGCUGAGGGAUGUCCCAGGCUACUGCCUCUACUUCAUCCCCUAUGUGUUCCUGAGUGAGUGGAUCACCCCAGAGGCCUGUGCCAGCCCCAGCCCCUGCGCCGCGUGGCUGGCGGGCGGCAUGGCAGGAGCAAUUUCUUGGGGAACAGCUACACCUAUGGAUGUCGUGAAAAGUCGGCUCCAAGCUGAUGGGGUUCAUUUAAACAAAUACAAAGGUGUCCUCGACUGUAUCUAUCAGAGUUACCAGAAUGAAGGACUUAAAGUAAGCCCCACAGCAGUCAUGCAGGGUGUUUUUCAGGGGCAUCACCGUGAACGCUGUGCGGGGCUUCCCCAUGAGUGCCACCAUGUUCCUUGGGUAUGAGCUCUCGCUGCAGGUGAUCCGCGGGGACCACACAGUGACCAGCCCCUGAGCACCAGGGCCAGAGUCAGCAGAGCAAGGCCUCCGUCUACUGGCCACAGGUUGCUGCUGAAGGCAGCUUCUCCAGAUGCCGCUGUAGUGAGAGUCCUGGAGAGAGAAGGCCUCCCACCACCCCUGCUGUGAGCCUCGUGGGGGGGGGGGCCUCAGCCCUUUGGCUGGGCCCGGAAUCCCUUCUCCCCCAGCUGCCCGGGCUCUGCUCCUGAGCUGGCCGCUCGGCCGCCACGCUGGAAGGACGCAGCGGAUCACCAUCCGUUUCAGAUCUGCACCGGCACCUGGUGAAACAGCCCCUGCCCCUGCGCAUUGCAAACUCGCUGGGAGGUCCCGGAGGGGCUGGGGUUGCCUCCAAAGUUUCCAAAUAAAAACAUCCAAAACCGCUUCAGCUCCGUUCGGUAUCAGAUGCUUCCGCCUGGACUCCAGGAAACACUGGCCACCCUCACUCUUCCCUCUGUGCAGGCCCCUGCAGCUGUUGCUGGCCCAGAGAGGCCACUCCGCGCAGGGACAGGAGGCCCCGAGCACGGCCGUUCUUCGCCCGCGGCCGACGGUGUGCGGGGUGGACCCCGGCUCGUGUUGCGGCGCCCGCGGCUGCGGCGCUCCGGUGGCGAUGCGCUGGGCACCAGGGCCCGCGGGCCGGGGUUCGCAGGGCCUUAUUUUCAUCUGGGGAACAAAACGAAAUAAAAUACUUUAACCGC
Manis javanica (Malayan pangolin) is the source of this 2426-nucleotide RNA transcript. It is a transcript of the gene named solute carrier family 25 member 48, with no coding region annotated. NCBI's taxonomy places the organism in Eukaryota, Metazoa, Chordata, Mammalia, Pholidota, Manidae. The record is from RefSeq and is a predicted model, not a curated record.